GGGGGCGACUGGUUUCGAUUGUGUAAGUGGCUCCGUGGCUGCGCGCCCAGGUCCUCGGGUCCCUGGUAAAACACUCGGGAAGUUCCAACUGCGAAUAACAACUUCGCUCUCGCUGCGUAAGACCUAGUCUUACCGUAGCAGUGCCUGAGAGGCAGCCCGCCCGGGGCGGCGCUCAGGUAUCGCAAAUCCGGGCUGGCCCAACGGCGCGUCUGCCGCUCGCGGGCGAGAUCUCAGCAGACUCAUCCGUCCGUCGGCGGCCUGUCGGCCAGCGUCCGGAGACAUCAAUCGACGGGACACGCGCGUAGACGCUGCGGAAGAUCUUGUGCAAGACGGGAGUUCGAAUCUCCCCGCCUCCACUU
This 359-nucleotide transfer-messenger RNA is filed under the name Gemmatimonadaceae. RNAcentral's name for it is "PNKF01 sp011525845 Standard tmRNA". It matches the Rfam family "transfer-messenger RNA". From Rfam's summary of the family: Bacterial tmRNA, also known as 10Sa RNA or SsrA, is named for its dual tRNA and mRNA-like properties. Its role is to liberate the mRNA from a stalled ribosome. Lineage: Bacteria; Pseudomonadati; Gemmatimonadota; Gemmatimonadia; Gemmatimonadales. RNAcentral also lists the same sequence under 2 other names. The record is from RNAcentral.